This 253-nucleotide ribosomal RNA is filed under the name uncultured bacterium. RNAcentral describes it as "partial 16S ribosomal RNA". It matches the Rfam family "Bacterial small subunit ribosomal RNA", at positions 524 to 776 of the family's 1533-position model. The record is from RNAcentral.
AACGUAGGAGGCGAGCGUUAUCCGGAGUUACUGGGCGUAAAGCGCGUGUAGGUGGUUGGAUACGUCUGCUGUGAAAUGUCCCGGCUUAACCGGGAGGGUGCGGCAGAUACGGUCUGACUUGAGGGCGACAGAGGAGCGUAGAAUUCCGGGUGUAGUGGUGGAAUGCGUAGAGAUCCGGAGGAACACCAGCGGCGAAGGCGGCAUCCUGGACUGGUCCUGACACUCAGGAGCGAAAGCGUGGGGAGCGAUCCGG